GGGGAUGUAGCUCAGUGGUAGAGCACUUGCCUAGCAUGCACAAAGCUGUGGGUUCCAUGCCCAGCACUUCCC
RNAcentral lists this transfer RNA (72 nucleotides) under Heterocephalus glaber (naked mole-rat). It matches the Rfam family "tRNA". Rfam says of the family: Transfer RNA (tRNA) molecules are approximately 80 nucleotides in length. Their secondary structure includes four short double-helical elements and three loops (D, anti-codon, and T loops). The record is from Rfam by way of RNAcentral. Lineage: Eukaryota; Metazoa; Chordata; Mammalia; Rodentia; Bathyergidae.